UACAGAGGGUGCAAGCGUUAAUCGGAAUUACUGGGCGUAAAGGGCGCGUAGGCGGUUGUGCGAGUGUGGUGUGAAAGCCCCGGGCUUAACCUGGGAAGCGCAUCGCAAACGGCAUGACUAGAGUAGAUGAGAGGGUGGCGGAAUUUCCGGUGUAGCGGUGAAAUGCGUAGAGAUCGGAAGGAACGUCAAUGGCGAAGGCAGCCACCUGGCAUCAUACUGACGCUGAGGCGCGAAAGCGUGGGGAGCGAACAGG
Molecule: ribosomal RNA, 253 nt
Filed under: uncultured bacterium
Lineage: Bacteria
Description: partial 16S ribosomal RNA
Rfam family: Bacterial small subunit ribosomal RNA
Source: RNAcentral